RNAcentral lists this ribosomal RNA (246 nucleotides) under uncultured bacterium. RNAcentral describes it as "partial 16S ribosomal RNA". It matches the Rfam family "Bacterial small subunit ribosomal RNA", at positions 524 to 767 of the family's 1533-position model. The record is from RNAcentral.
UACGUAGGGUGCAAGCGUUAAUCGGAAUUACUGGGCGUAAAGCGUGCGCAGGCGGUUUUGUAAGUCUGUCGUGAAAUCCCCGGGCUCAACCUUGGGAAUUGCGAUGGAGACUGCAAGGCUAGAAUCUGGCAGAGGGGGGGUAGAAUUCCACGUGUAGCAGUGAAAUGCGUAGAGAUGUGGAGGAACACCGAUGGCGAAGGCAGCCCCCUGGGUCAAGAUUGACGCUCAUGCACGAAAGCGUGGGGA